UNGACUGCCUAAGAUAAGAAAUCAUUCAGCU
RNAcentral lists this non-coding RNA (31 nucleotides) under Rattus norvegicus (Norway rat). The record is from RNAcentral. Lineage: Eukaryota; Metazoa; Chordata; Mammalia; Rodentia; Muridae.